UCGUGGGUGAUUGGUCCUGUCUUUGUGGUUGUAUAGGUUUUCACGGUCCGUUUGUUUUUUUCUUCUUCUCCUGCUACCCUCAGCAUUCAUUAUUCUUAGAAAAAAAUUCCAGGCGCAUGAAUGCUACAAUGCUACGACCAACCCGCAAAUAAGACCUUCAGGAAGUGCCCAGACUAUGAUGCUUUCGAAUGCCAAGGUCGCAUAACCCUCAGCGCCGGAACAUCAACUGGAGGAGCUCCUGACACUUUCAGGCAACAUGGGUUGCAGAAAAGGUCGGACGCCUUGGAGAAAGCCAAUGUUUUCCAUAGAAUGGAACUGCCACUAUGCUGUCCUGCAAGACUUGUCGAAGACCGACAACCGGGAUGGAGGGAUGUCAUCGACUUUUUUCUGCGAAUCUUGGCGCUACCCAUCCCACCAUUUGGAAGAUCAUCGAGGCAUUGCAAUGAUGGCAGCAAAGAAGUGAAAUGAGAAUGGAGCAGUAACUUCUGGGCUACCACCGCCAUGGUAAAGACUACAUUACCACAAGAAACAGAAGGAUCUGAAGUCACUGGCAUGUAAAUACUCCAACAUCCAUCUAUUCAAGUCAACUAAAUGUGAAAUGUGUUAAUUUGACAAAUAAUGUUAAGUUGACUUCAACUCAAUAAAAGCUGUAAACAUAAAAAUCAAGUUCAGUUAGCAAAGAACAAUUUGCUCAGUCAACUUUCAAAUCAGAACUAAUAAGUCAAAUAAACUAAAACAAGAUCCCAGUUGUGUUGACAGAAAAUCAGCUAUAAAUGUGUUCCCUCAACUUCCAAAUUAGAUCCAAUAAGUCAAAUGAACUAAAUGAAUACCACAGUUGUCUUGACUUUAAAUGUCAAUUCAGGAUAACUACAAAUCUGUACAUCAACUUAACUUACAAAAUUAAGUUAAAUCGGCUAAGACCUAUAUGUUCGUUUAACUUUUAAGUCAGAACCAAGAUGUCAAAUCAGUGCAACUGCCUCCGGUGUACAUGUACUGUUGUCUGGGUUUGAACUUCUUAAUUAUUGACCGAAUUGUGUACCUAUUGUUUAAUAGUGGAAACCAUUUUUGAAUUUGUGAGUGUUUUUGCCUUUCCACAUUGUGAUAGAAUAUGCAUUUUUCAUCUGUGUUAGCUUAUUUUUAUACCCCAGUUAAAGGGAGCCAUGUAAGGCCACAAUACAGCUCAUUUUUUCCAUAAGUAAGAAUCCAUAUGGGGUACCAACAAUUGUCACAAUUGUAAUUUUGUUGAUUUGUUUGUUUUAAAUGGAAUUUGAUUGGUGCAACUUUUCUGCAGUGACUUCCCCCAUAUUCCUUGCAGCCAAUAAAUUCAGGUUUUGUCUGUGAGGGCAAAGGUCACGUGCAAUAUCUCACGUUCUCAUUUCUGACACCAGUGGAGCAAAUGUUAAUGAAUAUGGGGCCACAUGGCAGAGCAAGGGGAACAACUACUUUAGGUCUCAGAGCGAGUGACAUGACCUGAUUGAAACGCUUUUAACUCGGUUACACAUGCACAUGUAUUAGUGAUCCUAAUAUUGGGCCUAAGCUUUCAUGGCUAACCAUCUAACAAUUCGUGUUUGGUGAGGCCAAUGUAGUGAAAGUAAUAUGUGUAACGUUACAAUUGGUUAUAAAAGAGAUUAACUACAAAAAACACUCGGAAUGCAUCAGAUCACCUAUCCCGUUUGUUUGUGUAGAGUUUGCUCCUUGUUUGCACAUUGAUAGGGGACAUAAGUCAAACUUAAUUUGGUUUAGCACUUACAAGCACUCCUUGUAAUUCUAGUAAUCAAUUAAUUAUUAAACAAAAGUGUACAAUGUAUAGAAUCAAACAUAUUUUUGAUUUACUUAAGCCUUGUUGUACGAUCACAAUUUAUUUUAGAACACAAGUGUUAAUUUAUAGGCGGCGGCAUCAUUUCAGGAAGUGGCUUGAUCAGGACUGUGCUUCUGAAACUCUACUUCAUUCAACAGCUUUCCAAGCUGGAGUGAGUAGCUUGGCAAAAUGUUUAUGUGAAACAUUCAAUGGAUGAAGUGGAACUGUAAGUACUGCAGAUUUGACACAUCAAAUCAACGCAUCCUUAUUAGACAUUACAAAUUGAAUCAUGGACAUGAUGCAAGAUACAUUGAUGGAUCAAGACUGUCAGUGCACC
Oncorhynchus kisutch (coho salmon) is the source of this 2135-nucleotide long non-coding RNA. RefSeq lists it as uncharacterized. Lineage: Eukaryota; Metazoa; Chordata; Actinopteri; Salmoniformes; Salmonidae. The record is from RefSeq and is a predicted model, not a curated record. The transcript is spliced from 3 exons.